GGGGAAUCUUAGACAAUGGGGGCAACCCUGAUCUAGCCAUGCCGCGUGAUCGAUGAAGGCCUUAGGGUUGUAAGGAUCUUUCAGCUGGGAAGAUAAUGACGGUACCAGCAGAAGAAGCCCCGGCUAACUCCGUGCCAGCAGCCGCGGUAAUACGGAGGGGGCUAGCGUUGUUCGGAAUUACUGGGCGUAAAGCGCACGUAGGCGGAUAUUUAAGUCGGGGGUGAAAUCCCGGGGCUCAACCCCGGAACUGCCUUCGAUACUGGGUAUCUUGAGGUCGAGAGAGGUGAGUGGAAUUCCGAGUGUAGAGGUGAAAUUCGUAGAUAUUCGGAGGAACACCAGUGGCGAAGGCGGCUCACUGGCUCGAUACUGACGCUGAGGUGCGAAAGCGUGGGGAGCAAAC
RNAcentral lists this ribosomal RNA (400 nucleotides) under uncultured bacterium. RNAcentral describes it as "bacterial SSU rRNA". It matches the Rfam family "Bacterial small subunit ribosomal RNA", at positions 356 to 773 of the family's 1533-position model. The record is from RNAcentral.